This 674-nucleotide long non-coding RNA is filed under the name Chrysolophus pictus (golden pheasant). RNAcentral describes it as "lncRNA (ENSCPIG00010013941.1)". The record is from RNAcentral. Lineage: Eukaryota; Metazoa; Chordata; Aves; Galliformes; Phasianidae.
AAGGCAUUUGAAGUACUUCUUGUAGUUGUAUUUUACUCAUGUUAGGAAGAUUACUUGAAUGCGAGCUUUUAAUAGUUAUCAUUUCAGAUCAAAUGCCAGAUCUUUGGUGUUUGUGAGGAACAAAUGCAGCACAUCAGUGCUUCGUCUGACUGCCGUGUGAAGGUGUUGCUCAGGACCAGGAGCACUCAGAGGGGUCGGCAACCCUUCCACUUACACUUCAACCUUACUAAGAGAGGACGGAGGGCUCCGAAGAUAUCCCACCUGGGGAAGAACCAAGAUCCAACCACCAGCACAUUCCCAAAGCUGCACUCUUCACUUCUGAUUUCCUCAGCAAAACUGAAUAGGAAGUAAAGUUAAAAAUUAAAUGUUUGCUGUUUGCAGAGGAGCAGUACCUUAAAGGAACAUCCAGACACAGCUUCCUGCUUCCUGACCUUGGCACAGGGAUGCUGUUCUCUGCAGCGCCCUGUCCUCGUCCCCAGACUCCUCCAGCCCUUUCUUCCAGCCCAGUCCCUCUCACUGGCAGCUCAGCAGUGGUGAGUUAAAAGAAAACUGUGUCAAAUUAAUCUGAAAAGGGACUGUAGCCUUUGCAGUAGCUGGGGAAUAUCUCUUUUAUCUGCAUUGCCUGGGGCUGCAGAGCCACUGGAAAUUCAGAUUGGUCUUCACAUCUGAUGUGC